This 614-nucleotide ribosomal RNA is filed under the name uncultured bacterium. RNAcentral's name for it is "bacterial SSU rRNA". It matches the Rfam family "Bacterial small subunit ribosomal RNA", at positions 61 to 688 of the family's 1533-position model. The record is from RNAcentral.
GACGCAUGCCGGAGGGGUAACCCACUGGCAUGACGGAGCGGCGAACGGGUGAGUAACACGUGAGCAACCUGCCCCACAGACCGGAACAGCCCAGGGAAACCUGGAUUAAUACCGGAUGCCCUCAUCGGACCACAUGGUCUGAUGAGGAAAUGCCUUUGUGCUGUGGGAUGGGCUCGCGGCUUAUCAGCUAGUUGGUGGGGUAACGGCCUACCAAGGCAUCGACGAGUAGCUGGUCUGAGAGGACGAUCAGCCACACUGGGACUGAGAUACGGCCCAAACUCCUACGGGAGGCAGCAGCAGGGAAUCUUGCGCAAUGGGCGAAAGCCUGACGCAGCAACGCCGCGUGGGGGAUGACGGCCUUCGGGUUGUAAACCCCUUUCGGGAGGGAAGAAAUUGACGGUACCUCCAAAAGAAGCACCGGCCAACUACGUGCCAGCAGCCGCGGUAAUACGUAGGGUGCGAGCGUUAUCCGGAAUCAUUGGGCGUAAAGAGCUCGUAGGCGGUUCAGCAAGUCGGCUGUGAAAGUCCGAGGCUCAACCUCGGAACUGCAGUCGAUACUGCUGUGACUCGAGUCCGGUAGAGGAGAAUGGAAUUCCCGGUGUAGCGGUGAAAUG